Molecule: ribosomal RNA, 497 nt
Filed under: uncultured bacterium
Lineage: Bacteria
Description: partial 16S ribosomal RNA
Rfam family: Bacterial small subunit ribosomal RNA
Source: RNAcentral
GAUGAACGCUGGCGGCGUGCCUAAUACAUGCAAGUCGAGCGAACAGAUAAGGAGCUUGCUCCUUUGACGUUAGCGGCGGACGGGUGAGUAACACGUGGGUAACCUACCUAUAAGACUGGGAUAACUUCGGGAAACCGGAGCUAAUACCGGAUAACAUUUGGAACCGCAUGGUUCUAAAGUGAAAGAUGGUUUUGCUAUCACUUAUAGAUGGACCCGCGCCGUAUUAGCUAGUUGGUAAGGUAACGGCUUACCAAGGCGACGAUACGUAGCCGACCUGAGAGGGUGAUCGGCCACACUGGAACUGAGACACGGUCCAGACUCCUACGGGAGGCAGCAGUAGGGAAUCUUCCGCAAUGGGCGAAAGCCUGACGGAGCAACGCCGCGUGAGUGAUGAAGGGUUUCGGCUCGUAAAACUCUGUUAUUAGGGAAGAACAAACGUGUAAGUAACUGUGCACGUCUUGACGGUACCUAAUCAGAAAGACACGGCUAACUACGUG